GAUGAACGCUGGCGGCGUGCCUAACACAUGCAAGUCGAGCGAACAGACAAUGAGCUUUCUCUCCUGACGGUAGCGGCGGACGGGCGAGUAACAAAUGGAUAACCUUCUUCUAUUACGUGGGUAAUUUCGUGAGACCGGUGACAAUACCGCCGCAUAUAUUGUACCGCAUGGAUCAGUAGUGCAUGACACUUUUGCCGUCUCAUAUAGCUGGAUCCGCGCCGCAUUAGCUAGUUGGUAAGGUAACGGCUUACCAAGGCGACGAUGCGUAGCUGAUCUGAGAGGGUGAUCGGCCACACUGGAACUGAGACACGGUCCAGACUCCUACGGGAGGCAGCAGUAGGGAAUCUUGCGCAAAGGGCGAAAGCCUGACCGAGCCACGCCGCGUGAGUGAAGAAGGUCUUCGGGUCGUAAAGCUCUGUUAUUGGGAAAGAACAGCAGUGGAAUUAUCCAUGGCCGUCUUGACGGUACCUAAAGAAAAAGCAACGGCUAACUUCGUG
This 497-nucleotide ribosomal RNA is filed under the name uncultured bacterium. RNAcentral's name for it is "partial 16S ribosomal RNA". It matches the Rfam family "Bacterial small subunit ribosomal RNA", at positions 28 to 507 of the family's 1533-position model. The record is from RNAcentral.